This 45-nucleotide non-coding RNA is filed under the name Schistosoma haematobium. The record is from RNAcentral. Lineage: Eukaryota; Metazoa; Platyhelminthes; Trematoda; Strigeidida; Schistosomatidae.
AUCCAGCUGACGGGCCCCAAAUAGGACGAAACACGUAUCCUGGAU